RNAcentral lists this ribosomal RNA (301 nucleotides) under uncultured bacterium. RNAcentral describes it as "partial 16S ribosomal RNA". It matches the Rfam family "Bacterial small subunit ribosomal RNA", at positions 509 to 809 of the family's 1533-position model. The record is from RNAcentral.
CAGUCGCCACGGUAAUACAGAGGGUGCAAGCGUUAAUCGGAAUUACUGGGCGUAAAGCGCGCGUAGGUGGUUUGUUAAGUUGGAUGUGAAAGCCCCGGGCUCAACCUGGGAACUGCAUCCAAAACUGGCAAGCUAGAGUACGGUAGAGGGUGGUGGAAUUUCCUGUGUAGCGGUGAAAUGCGUAGAUAUAGGAAGGAACACCAGUGGCGAAGGCGACCACCUGGACUGAUACUGACACUGAGGUGCGAAAGCGUGGGGAGCAAACAGGAUUAGAUACCCCAGUAGUCCCUGUCUCUUAUAA